AUUGAACGCUGGCGGCAGGCCUAACACAUGCAAGUCGGACGGUAGCACAGAGGAGCUUGCUCCUUGGGUGACGAGUGGCGGACGGGUGAGUAAUGUCUGGGGAUCUGCCCGAUAGAGGGGGAUAACCACUGGAAACGGUGGCUAAUACCGCAUAACGUCGCAAGACCAAAGGGGGGGACCUUCGGGCCUCUAACUAGCGGCUGAACCCAGAGGGGAUUAGCUAGUAGGCGGGGGAAUGGCCCACCUAGGCGACGAUCCAUAGCUGGUCUGAGAGGAUGACCAGCCACACUGGAACUGAGACACGGUCCAGACUCCUACGGGAGGCAGCAGUGGGGAAUAUUGCACAAUGGGCGCAAGCCUGAUGCAGCCAUGCCGCGUGUAUGAAGAAGGCCUUCGGGUUGUAAAGUACUUUCAGCGGGGAGGAAGGCGACGCGGUUAAUAACCGCGUCGAUUGACGUUACCCGCAGAAGAAGCACCGGCUAACACCGUGCCAGCAGCCGCCGCCG
This 506-nucleotide ribosomal RNA is filed under the name uncultured bacterium. RNAcentral describes it as "partial 16S ribosomal RNA". It matches the Rfam family "Bacterial small subunit ribosomal RNA", at positions 29 to 523 of the family's 1533-position model. The record is from RNAcentral.